AACUCAAAGGAAUUGACGGGGACCCGCACAAGCGGUGGAGCAUGUGGUUUAAUUCGAUGCAACGCGAAAAACCUUACCACUCCUUGACAUGGAGAUUAGAUCCUUCUUAACGGAAGGGCGCAGUUCGGCUGGAUCUCGCACAGGUGCUGCAUGGCUGUCGUCAGCUCGUGUCGUGAGAUGUUGGGUUAAGUCCCGCAACGAGCGUAACCCUCAUCCUUAGUUGCCAGCGGGUAAUGCCGGGCACUUUAAGGAAACUGCCGGUGGUAAACUGGAGGAAGGUGGGGAUGAUGUCAAGUCAGCACGGCCCUUAUGGGGUGGGCUACACACGUGCUACAAUGGUGACUACAAUAGGUUGCAAUGUCGCAAGGCUGAGCUAAUCCGUAAAAGUCAUCUCAGUUCGGAUUGUCCUCUGCAACUCGAGGGCAUGAAGUCGGAAUCGCUAGUAAUCGUGGAUCAGCAUGCCACGGUGAAUACGUUCUCGGGUCUUGUACACACUGCCCGUCACGCCAUGGGAAUUGGCUUAACUCGAAGCUGGUGCGC
This 540-nucleotide ribosomal RNA is filed under the name uncultured Anaplasma sp. RNAcentral's name for it is "bacterial SSU rRNA". It matches the Rfam family "Bacterial small subunit ribosomal RNA", at positions 898 to 1435 of the family's 1533-position model. The record is from RNAcentral. Lineage: Bacteria; Pseudomonadati; Pseudomonadota; Alphaproteobacteria; Rickettsiales; Anaplasmataceae.